Myotis brandtii (Brandt's bat) is the source of this 60-nucleotide non-coding RNA. The record is from Rfam. Lineage: Eukaryota; Metazoa; Chordata; Mammalia; Chiroptera; Vespertilionidae.
GUGGCUCAGUGGAUAGAGCGUCGGCCUGCGGACUCAAGGGUCCCGGGUUCGAUUCCCGGC